UUUUGAUCCUGGCUCAGAUUGAACGCUGGCGGCAUGCUUUACACAUGCAAGUCGAACGGCAGCACGGGCUUCGGCCUGGUGGCGAGUGGCGAACGGGUGAGUAAUACAUCGGAACGUACCCAGAAGUGGGGAUAACGUAGCGAAAGUUACGCUAAUACCGCAUACGUUCUACGGAAGAAAGUGGGGGAUCGCAAGACCUCAUGCUUUUGGAGCGGCCGAUGUCUGAUUAGCUAGUUGGUAGGGUAAAGGCCUACCAAGGCGACGAUCAGUAGCUGGUCUGAGAGGACGACCAGCCACACUGGAACUGAGACACGGUCCAGACUCCUACGGGAGGCAGCAGUGGGGAAUUUUGGACAAUGGGCGCAAGCCUGAUCCAGCAAUGCCGCGUGAGUGAAGAAGGCCUUCGGGUUGUAAAGCUCUUUUGUCAGGGAAGAAACAGCGGAGGCUAAUAUCCUCUGCUAAUGACGGUACCUGAAGAAUAAGCACCGGCUAACUACGUG
Molecule: ribosomal RNA, 500 nt
Filed under: uncultured Massilia sp.
Lineage: Bacteria; Pseudomonadati; Pseudomonadota; Betaproteobacteria; Burkholderiales; Oxalobacteraceae
Description: bacterial SSU rRNA
Rfam family: Bacterial small subunit ribosomal RNA
Source: RNAcentral